RNAcentral lists this ribosomal RNA (252 nucleotides) under uncultured bacterium. RNAcentral describes it as "partial 16S ribosomal RNA". It matches the Rfam family "Bacterial small subunit ribosomal RNA", at positions 524 to 776 of the family's 1533-position model. The record is from RNAcentral.
UACGUAGGGGCAAGCGUUGUCCGGAUUUAUUGGGCGUAAAGAGCGUGUAGGCGGCUUUACAGGUCCGUUGUGAAAACUCGAGGCUCAACCUCGAGACGCCGGUGGAAACCGUAAAGCUAGAGUCCGGAAGAGGAGAGUGGAAUUCCUAGUGUAGCGGUGAAAUGCGUAGAUAUCGGGAGGAACACCGGUGGCGAAGGCGGCUCACUGGCCCGUAACUGACGCUCAUGCACGACAGCGUGGGGAUCAAACAGG